This 497-nucleotide ribosomal RNA is filed under the name uncultured bacterium. RNAcentral's name for it is "partial 16S ribosomal RNA". It matches the Rfam family "Bacterial small subunit ribosomal RNA", at positions 28 to 507 of the family's 1533-position model. The record is from RNAcentral.
GACGAACGCUGGCGGCGUGCCUAAUACAUGCAAGUUGAGCGCUGAAGGUUGGUACUUGUACCAACUGGAUGAGCAGCGAACGGGUGAGUAACGCGUGGGGAAUCUGCCUUUGAGCGGGGGACAACAUUUGGAAACGAAUGCUAAUACCGCAUAAAAACUUUAAACACAAGUUUUAAGUUUGAAAGAUGCAAUUGCAUCACUCAAAGAUGAUCCCGCGUUGUAUUAGCUAGUUGGUGAGGUAAAGGCUCACCAAGGCGAUGAUACAUAGCCGACCUGAGAGGGUGAUCGGCCACAUUGGGACUGAGACACGGCCCAAACUCCUACGGGAGGCAGCAGUAGGGAAUCUUCGGCAAUGGACGAAAGUCUGACCGAGCGACGCCGCGUGAGUGAAGAAGGUUGUCGGAUCGUAAAACUCUGUUGGUAGAGAAGAACGUUGGUGAGAGUGGAAAGCUCAUCAAGUGACGGUAACUACCCAGAAAGGGACGGCUAACUACGUG